This 412-nucleotide unclassified non-coding RNA is filed under the name Hevea brasiliensis (rubber tree). The record is from RNAcentral. Lineage: Eukaryota; Viridiplantae; Streptophyta; Magnoliopsida; Malpighiales; Euphorbiaceae.
AAUUUGGGUCAGAUGCCUCGUGUAAGUUCGCUUAUCAAGUGCACGCCCCUCCGUCCACGAGUAGAUAUUUUGUAUUGAAUAGUGUAAAACCCAGGAGCAAUAGUCAGAGAUUAUAUUAGAGGAUUUUAUACUUUAAACACACAACUUCCACCCUGUAGUUUUAGCUUGUAUAUGUGAGAAAUUAACAAGAAAAAAACGAGAUUUCAAAAAGAAUUCAAAUCUUCAAUUUUUCUGCACAAAACAGGGAAAGAGAAUGAACUAGAACAAAGCAGAUUUUAUUCAUUCCAGCACUACAAGCAUUUUGUUACAUGGGAGUACAUCCAAUGGGAAGCUUACAUACACACACAUAGACCAGCCAAACAACUAAACACAACAUUACAACAAAGUUAACAAACAAACAACAUAUUAAGUU